Molecule: long non-coding RNA, 561 nt
Organism: Carya illinoinensis
Lineage: Eukaryota; Viridiplantae; Streptophyta; Magnoliopsida; Fagales; Juglandaceae
Exons: 2
Source: RefSeq, a predicted model, not a curated record
UGUAGAGAAAGUGUUGGCGAAGCAAGCUGAGUACGACAAAUUAUUAAGUUCAUACAUGGAAUCACAGAGGCAAACCCAAGGAGAGUCUCAUAGAGAAACUCAAGGACCUGCAUAGGCAAUUCCUUUUUUAGUCAAUAAGUUUUUUGUGCGGAGAUGGAUUUGUGCCUUACAUGUCAUAGAAAAGUGUCUCCUAGUAUAACUUUUUUUGAUUAUUAGAUAUUUGGUGUUAGGUUGUAUGUUUUGAAAUGGUUUACACUGACUUGGAGCUGCACACAGUACAACCUUCACUGUGAAGGAUUUUGAUGUGGAAGUCUGGUUUUGCAGUACUUUGGUUUCUGUAGGCUGGGACCAAAUCAAGAAGUGGAAAAGCUUUGAGAUCAAUGAAGGAGGCUUCCAAUUUUCAGAUGAAGAGGUAUACCUUUAGGUUUUGAGAUGAAGAAGGCAGCUUCCAUGAUGAUCAAGACUUGCUUAGGAAAUCCUUGUUACACAAUAAAGAUGAGGAGUACACAUGUAAACUUACAUUGAUCUAUUAAUGUGGGAUGUUGGGGUGAAUUUCAAAUA